RNAcentral lists this unclassified non-coding RNA (250 nucleotides) under plant metagenome. Its description in RNAcentral is "partial contains small subunit ribosomal RNA, internal transcribed spacer 1, and 5.8S ribosomal RNA". The record is from RNAcentral.
GUGGGUGAACCUGCGGAAGGAUCAUCAACGAAUUCAUUAGGAGUUGUGCUGGUUCUUACAAGUGCACGCUCCUUACAAUUCCAUUCACACCCAAUGUGCACUCUAAGAGACGUAUCUCCCCCGUUUACGUGUGCCUUCACCGGCUCGGGAUUUCGUCUGUUUAACACACUCUUUAUUGUAAUAGAAUGUCAUUUGGCUUAAAUGCCUAAAGCUUUAAAUAUAACUUCCAACAACGGAUCUCUUGGUUCUC